GACGAACGCUGGCGGCGUGCUUAACAUAUGCAAGUCGAACGGUAAGGCUCCAGCUUGCUGGGGUACACGAGUGGCGAACGGGUGAGUAACACGUGGGUGACCUGCCCUGCACUUCGGGAUAAGCCUGGGAAACUGGGUCUAAUACCGGAUAGGACCGCACCGUGAGGGUGUGGUGGAAAGUUUUUUCGGUGUGGGAUGGGCCCGCGGCCUAUCAGCUUGUUGGUGGGGUAAUGGCCUACCAAGGCGGCGACGGGUAGCCGGCCUGAGAGGGUGGACGGCCACAUUGGGACUGAGACACGGCCCAGACUCCUACGGGAGGCAGCAGUGGGGAAUAUUGCACAAUGGGCGGAAGCCUGAUGCAGCGACGCCGCGUGGGGGAUGACGGCCUUCGGGUUGUAAACUCCUUUCACCAUCGACGAAGGGUUUCUGACGGUAGAUGGAGAAGAAGCACCGGCUAACUACGUG
RNAcentral lists this ribosomal RNA (465 nucleotides) under uncultured bacterium. RNAcentral's name for it is "partial 16S ribosomal RNA". It matches the Rfam family "Bacterial small subunit ribosomal RNA", at positions 28 to 507 of the family's 1533-position model. The record is from RNAcentral.